AACGAACGCUGGCGGCAUGCCUAACACAUGCAAGUCGAACGAGACCUUCGGGUCUAGUGGCGCACGGGUGCGUAACGCGUGGGAACCUGCCCUUAGGUUCGGAAUAACUCGCCGAAAGGGGUGCUAAUACCGGAUAAUGUCUUCGGACCAAAGAUUUAUCGCCUUUGGAUGGGCCCGCGUUGGAUUAGCUAGUUGGUAGGGUAAAAGCCUACCAAGGCGACGAUCCAUAGCUGGUCUGAGAGGAUGAUCAGCCACACUGGGACUGAGACACGGCCCAGACUCCUACGGGAGGCAGCAGUGGGGAAUAUUGGACAAUGGGCGAAAGCCUGAUCCAGCAAUGCCGCGUGAGUGAUGAAGGCCUUAGGGUUGUAAAGCUCUUUUACCCGGGAUGAUAAUGACAGUACCGGGAGAAUAAGCUCCGGCUAACUCCGUG
RNAcentral lists this ribosomal RNA (433 nucleotides) under uncultured bacterium. RNAcentral's name for it is "partial 16S ribosomal RNA". It matches the Rfam family "Bacterial small subunit ribosomal RNA", at positions 29 to 507 of the family's 1533-position model. The record is from RNAcentral.